Molecule: unclassified non-coding RNA, 331 nt
Filed under: soil metagenome
Description: partial contains 5.8S ribosomal RNA, internal transcribed spacer 2, and large subunit ribosomal RNA
Rfam family: 5.8S ribosomal RNA (bases 1-120)
Source: RNAcentral
GAUGAAGAACGUAGCGAAAUGCGAUAAGUAAUGUGAAUUGCAGAAUUCAGUGAAUCAUCGAAUCUUUGAACGCACAUUGCGCCUGCCAGUAAUCUGGCGGGCAUGCCUGUUCGAGCGUCAUUUCAACCAUCAAGCCCCAGGCUUGUGUUGGGGGCCUGCAGCUGCUGCAGCCCCCUAAAAGCAGUGGCGGACUCGCUGUCAUACCGAGCGCAGUAGUUACAUCUCGCUCUGGGCAUGGCGGCGGGCACCUGCCGUAAAACACUCUUUCUAAGGUUGACCUCGGAUCAGGUAGGAAUACCCGCUGAACUUAAGCAUAUCAAUAAGCGGAGGA